GUACGGGAGGCAGCAGUCGAGAAUUUUUCACAAUGGGCGCAAGCCUGAUGGAGCGACGCCGCGUGGGGGAUGAAUGGCUUCGGCCCGUAAACCCCUGUCAUUUGCGAUCAAACCUUAUUAUUUAAAAGAUGAUAAGUUGAUAGUAGCGAAAGAGGAAGGGACGGCUAACUCUGUGCCAGCAGCCGCGGUAAUACAGAGGUCCCAAGCGUUGUUCGGAUUCACUGGGCGUAAAGGGUGCGUAGGUGGUGGGGUAAGUCGGAUGUGAAAGCUCGGAGCUCAACUCCGAAAUGGCAUUGGAAACUACCCUGCUAGAGGAUUGGAGGGGGGACUGGAAUACUUGGUGUAGCAGUGAAAUGCGUAGAUAUCAAGUGGAACACCAGUGGCGAAGGCGAGUCCCUGGACAAUACCUGACACUGAGGCACGAAAGCUAGGGGAGCAAACAGGAUUAGAUACCCCGGUAGUCC
Molecule: ribosomal RNA, 464 nt
Filed under: uncultured bacterium
Lineage: Bacteria
Description: bacterial SSU rRNA
Rfam family: Bacterial small subunit ribosomal RNA
Source: RNAcentral